This 492-nucleotide ribosomal RNA is filed under the name uncultured bacterium. RNAcentral describes it as "partial 16S ribosomal RNA". It matches the Rfam family "Bacterial small subunit ribosomal RNA", at positions 29 to 507 of the family's 1533-position model. The record is from RNAcentral.
AGUGAACGCUGGCGGUAUGCCUAACACAUGCAAGUCGAACGGCAGCACAGUAAGAGCUUGCUCUUACGGGUGGCGAGUGGCGGACGGGUGAGGAAUACAUCGGAAUCUACUUUUUCGUGGGGGAUAACGUAGGGAAACUUACGCUAAUACCGCAUACGACCUACUGGUGAAAUCAGGGGAUCUUCGGACCUUUCGCGAUUGAAUGAGCCGAUGUCGGAUUAGCUAGUUGGCGGGGUAAAGGCCCACCAAGGCGACGAUCCGUAGCUGGUCUGAGAGGAUGAUCAGCCACACUGGAACUGAGACACGGUCCAGACUCCUACGGGAGGCAGCAGUGGGGAAUAUUGGACAAUGGGCGCAAGCCUGAUCCAGCCAUACCGCGUGGGUGAAGAAGGCCUUCGGGUUGUAAAGCCCUUUUGUUGGGAAAGAAAAGCAGCAGGUUAAUACCCCGCUGUUCUGACGGUACCCAAAGAAUAAGCACCGGCUAACUUCGUG